This 431-nucleotide ribosomal RNA is filed under the name uncultured bacterium. RNAcentral describes it as "bacterial SSU rRNA". It matches the Rfam family "Bacterial small subunit ribosomal RNA", at positions 343 to 791 of the family's 1533-position model. The record is from RNAcentral.
AGGAGGCAGCAGUGGGGAAUCUUGCACAAUGGGGGAAACCCUGAUGCAGCGACGCCGCGUGAGCGAUGAAGCCCUUCGGGGUGUAAAGCUCUUUCGGCAGGAACGAUUAUGACGGUACCUGCAGAAGAAGCUGCGGCUAACUACGUGCCAGCAGCCGCGGUAAUACGUAGGCAGCAAGCGUUGUUCGGAGUUACUGGGCGUAAAGAGUGUGUAGGCGGUCCUUUAAGUUCGGUGUGAAAUCUCCCGGCUCAACUGGGAGGGUGCGCCGGAAACUGGAGGGCUUGAGUGUGGGAGAGGAAAGCGGAAUUCCUGGUGUAGCGGUGAAAUGCGUAGAUAUCAGGAGGAACACCUGUGGUGUAGACAGCUUUCUGGACCACGACUGACGCUGAGACACGAAAGCGUGGGUAGCAAACAGGAUUAGAUACCCUGGU